This 468-nucleotide ribosomal RNA is filed under the name uncultured bacterium. Its description in RNAcentral is "partial 16S ribosomal RNA". It matches the Rfam family "Bacterial small subunit ribosomal RNA", at positions 28 to 507 of the family's 1533-position model. The record is from RNAcentral.
GACGAACGCUGGCGGCGUGCUUAACACAUGCAAGUCGAACGGAAAGGCCCUGCUUUUGUGGGGCGCUCGAGUGGCGAACGGGUGUGUAACACGCGAGUAUACUCCCCUUGACUUUGGGAUAACUUUACGAAACUGGGGCUAAUACCGGAUAGGAGCUCCUGCUCCAUGGUGGGGGUUGGUAAGUUUCGGCGUUUGGGGCAUGACUCGCGGCUUAUCAGCUUGUUGGUUGGGUAGUGGCUUACCAAGGCUUUGACGGGUACCCGGCCUGGGCGGGUGACCGGGCUCAUUGGGACUGUGAUACGGCGCAGACGCCUACGGGAGGCAAUAGUGGAGAAAAUUGCACAAUGGGCGGAAGCCAGUUGCAGCAGCGCUGCGUGCGGGAAUAUCGCCUAUGGGUUGUAAACCGCUUUCGCCUGUGAUAGAGCGUGAGUGACGGUACUGAAUAAAGAAGCCACGGCUAACUACGUG